GACGGGGGAUGCAAGCGUUAUCCGGAAUCACUGGGCGUAAAGCGUCUGUAGGUGGUGAUGCAAGUCACUGGUGCAAAACUCUGGCUCAACCGGAGGAAAGCCAGUGAAACUGCAUGACUAGAGUGUGGGAGAGGUAGAAGGAAUUCCCUGAGUAGCGGUGAAAUGCGUAGAUACAGGGAAGAACACCGGAGGCGAAAGCGUUCUACUGGAACACAACUGACACUGCGCGACGAAAGCUAGGGGAGCGCAUGGG
This 253-nucleotide ribosomal RNA is filed under the name uncultured bacterium. Its description in RNAcentral is "partial 16S ribosomal RNA". It matches the Rfam family "Bacterial small subunit ribosomal RNA", at positions 524 to 776 of the family's 1533-position model. The record is from RNAcentral.